RNAcentral lists this ribosomal RNA (408 nucleotides) under uncultured microorganism. RNAcentral's name for it is "bacterial SSU rRNA". It matches the Rfam family "Archaeal small subunit ribosomal RNA", at positions 330 to 745 of the family's 1478-position model. The record is from RNAcentral.
GCGCACCAGGCGAGAAACUUUACAAUGUGCGAAAGCACGAUAAGGGAACUCUGAGUGCCUCCUAAGGAGGCUGUUCAGGUGUCUAAAAGCACCUGAAGGAGGGGCUGGGUAAGACCGGUGCCAGCCGCCGCGGCAACACCGGCAGCCCAAGUGGUAGCCACGUUUAUUGGGUCUAAAGCGUCCGUAGCCGGCUGGGUAAGUUCCUUGGGAAAUUUGGCUGCUUAACAGUCAAGCUUUCAGGGAAUACUGCCCGGCUUGGGACCGGGAGAGGUCAGAGGUACUCCAGGGGUAGGGGUGAAAUCCAUUAAUCCUUGGGGGACCACCGGUAGCGAAGGCGUCUGACCAGACCGGGUCCGACGGUGAGGGACGAAGGCUAGGGGCGCGAACCGGAUUAGAUACCCCUGUAGU